RNAcentral lists this ribosomal RNA (1107 nucleotides) under Triticum aestivum (bread wheat). RNAcentral describes it as "partial small subunit ribosomal RNA". The record is from RNAcentral. Lineage: Eukaryota; Viridiplantae; Streptophyta; Magnoliopsida; Poales; Poaceae.
AUGGGUAGAGGCAGCUCGCUUGUAUUGGUUCUCUUGGUGAUCCUACUCCUCAACAACGACCACGCCUCAGCUGUAGAAACCUUAGCUUGGAAUGAUGCUGGCAGCACCACCACCACCACCAUGCCUCCGUGGGUGCAACCCAGGGACCGGCAGCUGUUGGACUUGACGGUCGGCGAUAUGCAGGUGGACAUGGUGGUUGCCAAGGACGCGAGCGGUCACUUCAGCACUGUCAGCGAGGCCCUGGAUGCAGCUCGGCCGGUGAGAGGGAAGAGGUACGUGAUAUACAUAAAGAGGGGAAUAUAUCGUGAGGAGGUGGUGAUAAGGAAGAACAACAUAGCGUUGAUUGGGGAUGGAAUCAAUGAGACGGUAAUCUCCGUCAACAAGAGUAGAAGUGGUGGCGGGUGGGCCUCGUAUGACACGGCCGUCGUUUAUGCCAAAGGCACAAUGCUCAUGGCGCGUGACCUCACCAUUGAGAAUACGGCGGGCAGGGAGGCGGGUGCAGCAGUGGCUCUCAGGUCAGACUCCAAACAUUCGGUGUUCUAUCGCUGCGAGUUCAAGGGAUAUGAGGACACGCUCCUCGCCGACUCCAAUCGCCAGUUCUACCGGGAAUGCAUUAUCUCCGGAACCGUGGACUUCACUUACGGCAAUGCUAAGGCCGUGUUCCAGGAGAGCCUUCUCCUUGCACGUGCCCCGCUGAAAGGAAAACACAAUGUUAUUACAGCCCAAGGCCGCGACGGUCCUGACGGUUCCUCAGGCUUCUCGUUCCAGAAUUGCAGGGUGACAUCACAUGAAGAUCUCAACGGUGCCGAGACGUACUUAGGUAGGCCGUGGAGGAACCAUUCCCAUGUGGUCUUCAUGCAGUCUUUCCUCGACGGCAUCGUGCAUCCCAGCGGAUGGGUUCCAUGGGACAAAGCAGACGGCAACGUCCCGCCUACAGUUUAUUACGGCGAGUUCGCGAACACAGGCCCUGGGGCAAACUUGAGCAAGCGUGUGCCCUGGCUCCACGUUAUGGACGCUGGUCAAGCUGAGCAUUGCACGGGGAAGCGAUUCAUCCGUGGGGACGAGUGGCUCAACGCCACCGGAGUCGCGUACCAGCCUGGGCUGUAG